AUCGCUUCUCGGCCUUUUGGCUAAGAUCAAAGUGUAGUAUCUGUUCUUAUCAGCUUAAUAUCUGAUACGGCCCCUACAUGGGGCCCAGAAUAUUAAACUGAUUUUUGGAAACCGGAGGGAUGUCGGGGCUUGCUCCGCUCCCUUCACGCGUUGGCCCGGUAUUGCAGUACCUCCGGGAUCGGCGCACCCCUU
Molecule: non-coding RNA, 192 nt
Organism: Xiphophorus maculatus (southern platyfish)
Lineage: Eukaryota; Metazoa; Chordata; Actinopteri; Cyprinodontiformes; Poeciliidae
Source: Rfam